This is a non-coding RNA of Solanum lycopersicum (tomato), 663 nucleotides long. NCBI's taxonomy places the organism in Eukaryota, Viridiplantae, Streptophyta, Magnoliopsida, Solanales, Solanaceae. The record is from RefSeq and is a predicted model, not a curated record.
AAGAUGGAGCAUAUGUAAAUGAAGCGGCAAAAGUUAUCUGUGAAAAAAUUUAGCAAACUCUGAGUCAAAGCAAUGUGGAUGAGUCUAUAAUAUCGCCAGAUGAUGCAGUUGGAAAAAUUCUAGGAAAAGAGCACUCUGGAAGGGUAAGGUGUUUGGGAUUAGGAGUUGUUCCCACUAGAGUUUUUAAACAAGCAAGACCUCGAUUCAGCGGUAUGAAUGCUUCGAGUGUUUCAUGUCCAUCCAAUUGCCAGGAGAACUACAAUAAAUUGUUGAAUUCUCACAUUCAAAUGAUGGCUGAUUUCAAGUCAUAUAUGAUAAUGAAAGAAGGGGCAUUACCAGAACAAUUUGUGGGGUUAUUUGCUCCUACUACUACAAUGCCAGGUGAUGUUAGUGAUAGUAAUCGUAGUGAACCCCGCUGAAGUUUCAUGAAUAAUUGUAGAUCCUUUCUUGAGUUUGGAUGCUAGUGAUCUAAAGUUUAAGCAAUUUUUUGUAGUGAUUUGAAGUUCAAGCAAGUUUUUGUAGUGAUUGAAAGUUUCUUGUAAUAAUAUGGUUGAAGUGAAUAACAUGUUCUAAUUAAGUUUGUAGAACUAAUAGUACACUUUAUGACAUGCUUCCGUGGUGAACUAUUGUGUUAUUUCAUAUACUAAUAUGCCCUUUUAGAUU